Long non-coding RNA from Clupea harengus (Atlantic herring), 368 nucleotides. Lineage: Eukaryota; Metazoa; Chordata; Actinopteri; Clupeiformes; Clupeidae. The record is from Ensembl.
CACGGACAGGGAGCUGAAGGCGGCAGUGCUGAUGGAGCUGAAGGACUGCAUCGCCCUGCGCAACCAAGAAUUCAAGGGGAACUCACAGAACGACGCCCAUGAGUUCCUCUCGGAGUGUCUUCUGGGCCUCAAGGACAUUGGGCACACCCUCCAGAUGGGGGAUGUGUCCUAUCAGUGCCCAGUGGACACUCUGCUCUCCUUCCAGCUCCAGCACAUAAGAUCUUGCAGAAGCUGUGGAGUUGAGAGCAGGAGGGAGGAGAUCUCCACCUACCUCUCCCUCCAAAUGGUUGCGCAGGGCACAGUCCAAAACAGCCUGGAGCUUUACUUCAACGAAUCAGAAGUUGAGUACAGGUGCGAGCAGUGUGGGG